UUAAUAAACUCUUUGAUUGAUUAAGAGAGUCGUUCUGUCUUCCUGCACCGAGCGCUCCCGCUGCAACUGAGGCUUUCCACAGGACAGGUGAUCCACUCUCUGGUUCCUCUUCAUGAACGGACCAAAAACGGCCGGUCCUUUCAAAUGGUGACCUCCGACGUGUUCUCUUCACCCAGAAGUAUGUUGCAGCUAAUAUUAAUCCUGUGCCUGGUGGAACGUGCUGGCGGAUCCCCCAUGGAUAACGUUUUCUGGCAGUAUGCUAACUGGACUGCCAAGCAGUACACCAAUGACUCCUGCUACGUGUGUCACCUGAUGCCCUCCAGUGUGAACAAGCACUCCAUGGUCACGGCCCCUCAGGAUCUCUGCUACUCUGCAGGCUGUAGCACACACCUGUCUGUCUCCUGACUGUUUGAAUGUUACUCAUUAUGAUUACCCUCACAUUAAUUAUUCUCUUUCUUUAUCACAGGAUUUUUGUUCUAAAACUCGCAACACUACAGAUUUUGCUACAUGUUUGCAGUACAUUCUUAAAUAUGUCCUUACUAACUCCUUACUAACUCCUUAUUAACUACUUACUCCUUAUUUUACUAUGGCAGUCCCUUUUAUCUGUAUGGUUUUGUUGUUGCUGUGUCUGGGUCCUUGUUUUUUCAGAUGCCUCAUGGAAAGGGUCUAUGCGCUGGCCUCCGCGAUGCGACCCCCGCGGCCCGUAUACCAGCCUCUCAUCUCCAGCACCAACCAUAUGUAUGUGUGUUCUCACGCACCACUGUGACUCGCCCGGUUAUGCCUCACCAAUUGGUGAAGCAUAAAAGAGGGGAAUGAAAGGGUUAACUCUGCUCCAACUCUGCUCUAAGCAGACUUUGCCGUAAGCAUAGCUACUGUCCUUGGCAGUUUUGCACAAACAACUUGCUCCUCUUAUCGGGACAACAUUCUGUCCAGAACCAUUUGUUCUCUUUCGUAAGUAAGAUUAUCGUACACAGAGCAGAAGCCCCCCUCCUUUGGGCAGUUCCGGUGGUCCGUGAGUGUCAGCUUAGCAUUUCAUGACUGUUAGACAACUUAUUUGGGUCCACCCUGUUUGCUUGUACGCAACAGGGCAGGACGUGUUUGUAUAAAAGAAGGAGUGCCCUUCUUUCUGUGUGCAGAAGACUUAAUAAACUCUUUGAUUGAUUAAGAGAGUCGUUCUGUCUUCCUGCACCGAGCGCUCCCGCUGCAACUGAGGCUUUCCACAGGACAGGUGAUCCACUCUCUGGUUCCUCUUCAUGAACGGACCAAAAACGGCCGGGGUCCUCUCUGUGUGGAGUUUGCAUGUUCUCCCCGUGUCUGCG
Molecule: long non-coding RNA, 1319 nt
Organism: Pygocentrus nattereri (red-bellied piranha)
Lineage: Eukaryota; Metazoa; Chordata; Actinopteri; Characiformes; Serrasalmidae
Source: Ensembl